UAUAGCUCAGUGGUAGAGCGCAUGCUUAGCAUGCCUGAGGUCAUGGGUUCGAUCCCCAUUA
Transfer RNA from Camelus ferus (Wild Bactrian camel), 61 nucleotides. It matches the Rfam family "tRNA", at positions 6 to 65 of the family's 71-position model. Rfam says of the family: Transfer RNA (tRNA) molecules are approximately 80 nucleotides in length. Their secondary structure includes four short double-helical elements and three loops (D, anti-codon, and T loops). The record is from Rfam. Lineage: Eukaryota; Metazoa; Chordata; Mammalia; Artiodactyla; Camelidae.